CAAGGAAUCACUAAUCAUCCCAC
RNAcentral lists this microRNA (23 nucleotides) under Tribolium castaneum (red flour beetle). RNAcentral's name for it is "tca-miR-7-3p". Its record names the gene tca-miR-7-3p. Lineage: Eukaryota; Metazoa; Arthropoda; Insecta; Coleoptera; Tenebrionidae. The record is from miRBase by way of RNAcentral.